ACCCAGACUCCUACGGGAGGCAGCAGUGAGGAAUAUUGGUCAAUGGGCGAGAGCCUGAACCAGCCAAGUCGCGUGAAGGAUGACGGCCCUACGGGUUGUAAACUUCUUUUGUCAGGGAGCAAUUGGGUCCACGCGUGGGCUCAGCGAGAGUACCUGAAGAAAAAGCAUCGGCUAACUACGUGCCAGCAGCCGCGGUAAUACGUAGGGAGCAAGCGUUGUCCGGAAUUACUGGGCGUAAAGGGCGCGUAGGUGGGCGCUUAAGUCAGGUGUGAAAACUCCGGGCUCAACCUGGAGACUGCACUUGAAACUGGGUGUCUUGAGGGCAGGAGAGGAAAGUGGAAUUCCUAGUGUAGCGGUGAAAUGCGUAGAUAUUAGGAGGAACACCAGUGGCGAAGGCGACUUUCUGGACUGUACCUGACGCUGAGGCGCGAAAGCGUGGGUAGCGAACGGGAUUAGAUACCCCAGUA
RNAcentral lists this ribosomal RNA (467 nucleotides) under uncultured bacterium. Its description in RNAcentral is "bacterial SSU rRNA". It matches the Rfam family "Bacterial small subunit ribosomal RNA", at positions 329 to 792 of the family's 1533-position model. The record is from RNAcentral.